GUCUCUUUGAGGACAAACAAUAAAAUUGAAACGACUUGUAGAAGAUUACCAUGGAUAUGUGCAAGAAUGACAUGCACAGAUUGAGAAAUUGUUUAAUUGUUU
This is a non-coding RNA of Cucumis sativus (cucumber), 102 nucleotides long. NCBI's taxonomy places the organism in Eukaryota, Viridiplantae, Streptophyta, Magnoliopsida, Cucurbitales, Cucurbitaceae. The record is from Rfam.